RNAcentral lists this transfer RNA (82 nucleotides) under Saccoglossus kowalevskii. RNAcentral describes it as "tRNA-Ser". It matches the Rfam family "tRNA". Rfam says of the family: Transfer RNA (tRNA) molecules are approximately 80 nucleotides in length. Their secondary structure includes four short double-helical elements and three loops (D, anti-codon, and T loops). Lineage: Eukaryota; Metazoa; Hemichordata; Enteropneusta; Harrimaniidae. The record is from RNAcentral.
GUAGUCGUGGCCGGGUGGUUAAGGCGAUGUACUAGAAAUCCAUUGGGCUCUGCCCGCGCUGAUUCGAAUCCUGCCGACUACG